RNAcentral lists this ribosomal RNA (454 nucleotides) under uncultured Alcaligenaceae bacterium. RNAcentral describes it as "bacterial SSU rRNA". It matches the Rfam family "Bacterial small subunit ribosomal RNA", at positions 923 to 1382 of the family's 1533-position model. The record is from RNAcentral. Lineage: Bacteria; Pseudomonadati; Pseudomonadota; Betaproteobacteria; Burkholderiales; Alcaligenaceae.
GCACAAGCGGUGGAUGAUGUGGAUUAAUUCGAUGCAACGCGAAAACCUUACCUACCCUUGACAUGUUCGGAAUUCUGCAGAGAUGCGGAAGUGCUCGAAAGAGAACCGGAACACAGGUGCUGCAUGGCUGUCGUCAGCUCGUGUCGUGAGAUGUUGGGUUAAGUCCCGCAACGAGCGCAACCCUUGUCAUUAGUUGCUACGAAAGGGCACUCUAAUGAGACUGCCGGUGACAAACCGGAGGAAGGUGGGGAUGACGUCAAGUCCUCAUGGCCCUUAUGGGUAGGGCUUCACACGUCAUACAAUGGUCGGUACAGAGGGCUGCCAACCCGCAAGGGGGAGCCAAUCCUUUAAAACCGAUCGUAGUCCGGAUUGAGGUCUGCAACUCGACCUCAUGAAGUCGGAAUCGCUAGUAAUCGCGGAUCAGCAUGUCGCGGUGAAUACGUUCCCGGGUCUU